GAAAAAGUUGGCUUGGAACUAUAACCGCCCAGAUUAAUUAAUAAUCAUUAAAUUAUGACGCCAUGGGUGGGAGAAAGGUGCGUUGACGCAUGCGCCCGAAUAAAUUCAAAACGCAUGCGCACUUCAAGAUCGUAAUGUUUACAGUACCACUACAGAGCAGUGAAAAAAAUAUAGUUUAAUUAUUAGACAUGUAAACAAAUUAUAUAAAGAAUAAAAAUGAUAAUAUCAGAACAGAAUGUCGAAUAACAG
Long non-coding RNA from Cotesia glomerata, 249 nucleotides. RefSeq lists it as uncharacterized. The transcript has 3 exons. The record is from RefSeq and is a predicted model, not a curated record. NCBI's taxonomy places the organism in Eukaryota, Metazoa, Arthropoda, Insecta, Hymenoptera, Braconidae.